GUUAGGAAUAUUGGACAAUGGGCGAAAGCCUGAUCCAGCCAUGCCGCGUGAACGAUGAAGGCCUUCGGGUUGUAAAGUUCUUUAGCCGAUGAUUAUAAUGACUGUAGUCGGGAAAUAAGCUCCGGCUAACUUGGUGCCAGCAGCCGCGGUAAUACGCAGGGGGCGAGCGUUAUUCGGAAUCACUGGGCGUAAUGCGUGCGUAGGCGGUUUUGUAAGUUAGGAGUGAAAGUCUAGGGCUCAACCUUGGAAUUGCUGUUAAAACUGCGAGGCUUGAAUCUCGGAGAGGAUAGCGGAAUUUCUAGUGUAGCAGUGAAAUGCGUAGAUAUUGGAAGGAACACCAGUGGCGUAAGCGGCUAUCUGGACGAGUAUUGACGCUGAGGCACGAAAGCGUGGGGAUCAAACAGGAUUAGAAACCCCUGUAGUCC
This 425-nucleotide ribosomal RNA is filed under the name uncultured bacterium. RNAcentral's name for it is "partial 16S ribosomal RNA". It matches the Rfam family "Bacterial small subunit ribosomal RNA", at positions 354 to 796 of the family's 1533-position model. The record is from RNAcentral.